This 382-nucleotide long non-coding RNA is filed under the name Bos taurus (domestic cattle). RNAcentral describes it as "long non-coding RNA NONBTAT001778". Lineage: Eukaryota; Metazoa; Chordata; Mammalia; Artiodactyla; Bovidae. The record is from RNAcentral.
GCAGAGCUCACGGAUAUCGUCAAGCAUCUCACUAGUCUCAAGGGGGUUUCCUUGACUCCAGAGAGAAUAGAGCAUUAAGCUAUAUCCUGAAUAAUAGUGGACAGCACUUUAAAAAGAUGCUUUUCAUUUUAAGGUGGGAAAGAUGAUGUUCUGGAAGUAUAACAUGCAUUUUCUUUAAGAUAAUUCAUUUGUGCCACUAGGUUAAAGGAGGUAAGAAGCCUUAAGUAAUAUACUUUUCAUCAGAAAUUCUACAGCCACAAAUUAUGCUAGGUUUUAUGUAGCAUUCAAAAGAAGUUUAAUUCCUGACCUUAUGUAAACAAAAGGUAUAAUGAUCGUAAGCAGGGCUGUUGUUGCAGUCCUGUUAUUAAUGGCCUUUUGCAAA